Molecule: ribosomal RNA, 720 nt
Filed under: Klebsiella oxytoca
Lineage: Bacteria; Pseudomonadati; Pseudomonadota; Gammaproteobacteria; Enterobacterales; Enterobacteriaceae
Description: partial 23S ribosomal RNA
Rfam family: Bacterial large subunit ribosomal RNA
Source: RNAcentral
UCCACCCGAGACUCAGUGAAAUUGAACUCGCUGUGAAGAUGCAGUGUACCCGCGGCAAGACGGAAAGACCCCGUGAACCUUUACUAUAGCUUGACACUGAACACUGGUCCUUGAUGUGUAGGAUAGGUGGGAGGCUUUGAAGUGUGGACGCCAGUCUGCAUGGAGCCAUCCUUGAAAUACCACCCUUUAAUGGCUGGUGUUCUAACGUGGGCCCGUGAUCCGGGUUGCGGACAGUGUCUGGUGGGUAGUUUGACUGGGGCGGUCUCCUCCUAAAGAGUAACGGAGGAGCACGAAGGUCAGCUAAUCCUGGUCGGACAUCAGGAGGUUAGUGCAAUGGCAUAAGCUGGCUUGACUGCGAGCGUGACGGCGCGAGCAGGUGCGAAAGCAGGUCAUAGUGAUCCGGUGGUUCUGAAUGGAAGGGCCAUCGCUCAACGGAUAAAAGGUACUCCGGGGAUAACAGGCUGAUACCGCCCAAGAGUUCAUAUCGACGGCGGUGUUUGGCACCUCGAUGUCGGCUCAUCACAUCCUGGGGCUGAAGUAGGUCCCAAGGGUAUGGCUGUUCGCCAUUUAAAGUGGUACGCGAGCUGGGUUUAGAACGUCGUGAGACAGUUCGGUCCCUAUCUGCCGUGGGCGCUGGAGAAUUGAGGGGGGCUGCUCCUAGUACGAGAGGACCGGAGUGGACGCAUCACUGGUGUUCGGGUUGUCAUGCCAAUGGCAUUG